ACCGGUGGUCAGGGUGAAACGGUGGUGUAAGAGACCACCAGCACGCCAGGUGACUGGCGUGGCUCGGCAAACCCCACCUGGAGCAAGACCAGACAGCACGCGUAUGAGGGCGGCCCGUCCGAGCGUGCGGGUAGGUCGCUGGAGGCGGCUGGCAACAGUCGCCCGAGAUGGAUGGCCGUCCCCGUCGCAGUGCCGGCAACGGCGCGGCGGGACAGAACCCGGCGUAUCGGUCGACUCAUCCA
RNAcentral lists this RNase P RNA (242 nucleotides) under Actinomycetota bacterium. RNAcentral's name for it is "partial RNase P RNA component class A". It matches the Rfam family "Bacterial RNase P class A", at positions 141 to 367 of the family's 367-position model. From Rfam's summary of the family: Ribonuclease P (RNase P) is a ubiquitous endoribonuclease, found in archaea, bacteria and eukarya as well as chloroplasts and mitochondria. Its best characterised activity is the generation of mature 5'-ends of tRNAs by cleaving the 5'-leader elements of precursor-tRNAs. Lineage: Bacteria; Bacillati; Actinomycetota. The record is from RNAcentral.